Molecule: ribosomal RNA, 292 nt
Filed under: uncultured bacterium
Lineage: Bacteria
Description: partial 16S ribosomal RNA
Rfam family: Bacterial small subunit ribosomal RNA
Source: RNAcentral
AUCCUACGGGAGGCAGCAGUGAGGAAUAUUGGUCAAUGGGCGCAAGCCUGAACCAGCCAAGUCGCGUGAGGGAUGACGGUCCUAUGGAUUGUAAACCUCUUUUGUCGGGGAGCAAGGCCCGCCACGUGUGGCGGGAAGGAGAGUACCCGAAGAAAAAGCAUCGGCUAACUCCGUGCCAGCAGCCGCGGGAAUUCGGAAGAUGCGAGCGUUAUCCGGAUUUAUUGGGUUUAAAGGGGUCGUAGGCGGAAGGUUAAGGCAGCGGUCAAAUGUCGGUGCUCAACACCGGCCUGCC